GGUAAUGGCUCAGUGGUUGCGUGCUCACCUAGCAUGUGUGGGGUGCUGGGUUCGAUCCUCAGCACCA
Molecule: transfer RNA, 67 nt
Filed under: Marmota monax (woodchuck)
Lineage: Eukaryota; Metazoa; Chordata; Mammalia; Rodentia; Sciuridae
Description: tRNA.Ala
Source: RNAcentral